AUUGAACGCUGGCGGCAGGCCUAACACAUGCAAGUCGAGCGGUAGAGAGAAGCUUGCUUCUCUUGAGAGCGGCGGACGGGUGAGUAAUGCCUAGGAAUCUGCCUGGUAGUGGGGGAUAACGUUCGGAAACGGACGCUAAUACCGCAUACGUCCUACGGGAGAAAGCAGGGGACCUUCGGGCCUUGCGCUAUCAGAUGAGCCUAGGUCGGAUUAGCUAGUUGGUGGGGUAAUGGCUCACCAAGGCGACGAUCCGUAACUGGUCUGAGAGGAUGAUCAGUCACACUGGAACUGAGACACGGUCCAGACUCCUACGGGAAGCAGCAGUGGGGAAUAUUGGACAAUGGGCGAAAGCCUGAUCCAGCCAUGCCGCGUGUGUGAAGAAGGUCUUCGGAUUGUAAAGCACUUUAAGUUGGGAGGAAGGGUUGUAGAUUAAUACUCUGCAAUUUUGACGUUACCGACAGAAUAAGCACCGGCUAACUCUGUG
This 484-nucleotide ribosomal RNA is filed under the name uncultured bacterium. RNAcentral describes it as "partial 16S ribosomal RNA". It matches the Rfam family "Bacterial small subunit ribosomal RNA", at positions 30 to 507 of the family's 1533-position model. The record is from RNAcentral.